UACGUAGGGUGCGAGCGUUGUCCGGAAUUAUUGGGCGUAAAGGGCUCGUAGGCGGUUUGUCGCGUCGGGAGUGAAAACCCAGGGCUUAACCCUGGGCUGGCUUCCGAUACGGGCAGACUAGAGGUAUGCAGGGGAGAACGGAAUUCCUGGUGUAGCGGUGAAAUGCGUAGAGAUCGGGAGGAACACCCGUGGCGAAGGCGGCCAGCUGGGAUACACCUGACGCUGAGGCACGAAGGCGUGGGGAGCGAACGGG
RNAcentral lists this ribosomal RNA (253 nucleotides) under uncultured bacterium. RNAcentral's name for it is "partial 16S ribosomal RNA". It matches the Rfam family "Bacterial small subunit ribosomal RNA", at positions 524 to 776 of the family's 1533-position model. The record is from RNAcentral.